UAUACAAUGAUAAGGGGCACCUCAGGAGGAAGAUAUUUGGGGCUGGAGCUAAAAUGGUGUUUCUUACUUUUGUGAAUUUAAGGUAUCUGUUGGAUUCAGAUAAAUGUUGUGUAUGAAUAUUCAGAUGAAUGUUUGUUGUGUCUGUGGUUACAGAACAUAAAAAGGUUUGAUGUAAUGAGAGAUUUACAAACAUAAGUGGAAAGUGAACACAUGAAUAUGAAUGAAGUUUUGAGAGGGUUGAACAUGUAUGUGUGAGACACUAGUAUUAAAGAGGAGUACAGAGAAAGGAAAAAUAAAUAAAUAAAAUGGCUAGGAAAAAAAAAAAAAGAAAGAAAAAGAGCAACAUUGUCAUGAAAGACCAUGAUGGAGAGAACUUCAAAAUAGAUGUGUCCCCAAAGAUCAGGUCCUGCACAGAGGCUGAGAUAAGAACACAUAUAGCUAUCCUGAAUUAAUAACAAAAAGGCUUUUGGUGACCCCCAAAUAAUAAUUUUAAUUAAAUGGUAAGAAAAGAGCCAUAUUAGAGAACUGAGGUGUUAGUGAAUGAGAAUAUUAGAUGUGGAAAAGUUUAUGAAAUCUAAUCCUUCCGAAGUUUCUCUCUGAAAGAAGGAAAAGAGUAAACUAGAAAUCUAGAAUCAGAAAACAUUCCGAGAGACAAAAAUAAUACGAGAAAGAAUUUGAGAAAUUCUGUUACAAUGUUGUAAAAUACUCACCAAAUGCCUCAUUUGGAAGAAAAUUUAGAGAUUCCCUGCAACCUUUUCCCACACAUAAUUAAGAUCCAAAGAGGAAAAGUUACUUAGUUUUUUAGACAAGUAAACUGAGGUCUAGAACCAAACUGAGGAACGGGACUUGGGUCUCCACAACAAUCGUGGUGUUUCUGGGCAAUCGAACAGUUGUUAAAGUUUUGUUUUAUUUUGUCUCAUUUUGUUUGUGUGUGUGCGUAUUUGUUUUGUUGUUGUUAAGAAACAAUUUGAUGUCCAUUACCAUUGGUCAGCAUAGUUCUAGGAAAUUACUGUUCUCAGCAAUUUAGAGAACAAAUCAGGAUCUGUGUAGCAUAUUAUCUGAAGUGAUGGUCCUGGGAAGGAGAAGGAAGCGGAUAUUCUAAACAUCUUUUUCAACUGAUUUUAAGGUACCUUCACUGCAAUGAUGUUGAUUUUGUUUUCUAGUUUCUGUUACGUUCCUGUGACUGUUCAGUUAUAUAUUUUUCUUUACUUUAAUCACUUGCCAUGACAAAUAUUUUGUCUUCUAAGGAUACUUCCACCAAUUAAUGACGGUAUUCAUCUAUUACUUUUUCUUCUUUAAAAGUUCUUCUCCAAAGAUGAGCUCUAAAAGCAUCACACAUUGGGUAGCAUAGAUUUUCCUUUAAAUUCCUUUUUUUUUUUAAAUCAGUUCUGCUACACAUUUCUACCUAAAUAGGAAAAUUUAGUCACUGUUUAUGUGUGCUACAUCUUAAGACAUUUGAAAUUCCAUAAAAUGGCAAUACCUCUAUAAACCAGAUGCUCUGAGAACAGACGUGGGGUCUGAUUCCUUCAGCGCUGAUCAUCAGUCUCUAGCUCCCGUCCUGGAACUCAUGAAAUGUAACUGGAUGACAUAAUGACCAAGUGUUCCCCCAAAGGUGGAAAUAUAAGCAUCAGAAUAUGGGACAUUUUAGCCAGUGCAUUUUGCAAUAAAUUUACAUGAUCUGUAUGUGGCUGUGGUGAAUUAUUUAUCACUAGUAUGAAUAUUGGUCUCAGUUUGCCCAGGACAGCCCCAGUUUUUUAUACCAAUUGUUCUUAUGUCUGGCCUGGUUUAGCACUAACUUUCAUUUUCAAAAAUAUCUGUUUUUAACAGUAAUUUAUGUACUCAUCAUAUUCAUUACCUGUUCUCUCCAGCUUAAUCAUUAACUAAAAUCUUUCUUCCUGUAUUUUCUUAUAUUUUGAAUAAUGUUAUGUAAAUUGAAAACAACUUGCAGCAGUAGAACUGGACAAAUUCAGACUAAAAUGUAUAUGAAAAGGUGAAAAGUGAAAAUUGGAAUUUUUGGAUUAGUAUAAAAAUAUACACUUUUGCUUUAUCUGAAUAGCUUAGAAAAAUAUUUUGAUUGUGUUUUAAGUGUUGUGGGAGUGAAUUUUUAUUUUCCAUAUUCUCUAAAUCAUAUAGAGUCAUUAGAAAAAACAUAAAUUAUAAAAAUGCAGACAGGAGGAAGUAUAUAGAAUUUGGAAUUUAGAAAAUCCUUCUGUGGGCAUUCAAAAUUUUGAAUAUGAAAUGGAGUGCAAAAGACAUGUGUGUUUUACACUCCAAAUAAAAUAAAGCUCCAGAAGAGUGUACAGAAGUUACUAUACUUGAGAAAAGUUACAUGACAUAUUAUAACAAUCCUCUCCUUGAUGACAAGAUGCAAAGGGGAUUACAGUGUAGUAAUUUAAGGUUUAAAUUAGAAAUGAGUAAAUUUCUGUGGCUUUACAUUUUUAAAAUAGUAAUUGGAUUAUAAAAUUUUUCAAUCCUAGUCAAAAAUGUAUCCAGGCCCAAGUGAGCUGGUAUGGGCUAUCUAAGUAGAUAUGGACCCCUACUGACACCCACUGCCUAGAAUCCACAGUUCAGUCGAGGAUUAAAGAGGCCAGCUAAAGUCAGACACCAUUAGGGUUUUAGGGGAGGUAACAAAAAUUGCUCUAUAGAAUCAAAGGAGUAAACAAUGGUUGUUCUUAUUUAUCAUGAAUAUGUUGAUUUUGAAUAAUGUUAUGUAAAUUGAAAACAACUUGCAGCAGUAGAACUGGACAAAUUCAGACUAAAAUGUAUAUAAAUGUAUAAAGGCUCCUAUUUUCAUCGAGCCUUUAGAGAUGAAUGUCAAUGAGUAUAAUCAGUAUUCUAUAUCAUACCUACAAUGUUCUAGGUGCUGAUUAGACAUUUUAUUUCAGAUGACACCAGCAAAUAAUUAAACUACAAUUCUGCUGUUAUAGAUGAGGAAAUUCAAUCAGUGUUAAGGUUACUAGAAUCAGAUGGGUUUUUAAUAGCAGAUUUGGCGAUUCCAAUUAUUCCUGUCUUACGUAUGCUCUGAUGAAUAUUUUGUAUACAAUAUUGACAACUGGAACAAUUUCUCUGGAAUAAAUACUUAGCAGAAUUUCUGAGUGACUGGGUAUUCUUACUUUCAGUGUUCCUGGGAACUGAAGAAUAACUCUCCAAAAAUAAUUCUAUCAUUUUUGAAACUUGCCCAGCUGUGUAAGAAUACAUUUACCUCUUAUACUUCUUUCUCCACCUCAUAACACCUCCUAUUAUCUGACUGUUGUUCUAGCUUGAGAAAAUUAAAAGUGAAGUUGAGCAUAUUUUCAUUUGUUUUUUGGCCAUUCAGACACUUGUUUUUGUGAAUUUUCUGUCAAUAUCACUGAUACAGUUUUUAACUUGGAUGGUUUUUUGGAUGACUUACCCUUACUGAUUCAUAGUUAUUUAUAUAUUCUAAAUACUAUUACGCCAUAUGCAUUGCAAUUACCUAACCUGUACUUAUAGUUAACAAUGUAUUGUCAAAGUUAUUGUGUUUUGUUUUCUUGCUCAGGGCUUUAAAUUAUUUAUAGGUAUAACUUACUAUAAAGUUCACACUUCCCACAAUCAAGGUAUAGAGCAGCUGAAAAAAAAAAUCCCUCAUAAUCCUUUAAAGUCAAACCCUUCCUAUAGCCUUGGCUUCUUGGAAUCACUGACUAAUCUGUUUUUGGUCUCUACAGUUUUGUCAUUUCAAGCCUGUCAUAUCAAUGUAAAUGGGAUCAUAUUAUACAGUCUUUAAGAUUGAGCUUUUUUCACUUAGAAUAAUGUGUCUAAGAUACAUUUGUGUUGUUACGUCACGUAGUUCAUCAUUUGUUAUUUUUGUGAAGUAUUCUAUUGUAUGGAUGCAACAAAAUUUAUUUAUUUAACAGUUGAAGGAUAUUUGAGUUGCUUGAAUCCAAAUGGAACUGGAAUGCUUCCUACAGUUGUAUGGGUAACCAGAUGUCCACUGGGUCCAUCAUAUUUAUGACCAACAAUAGAAUAUGGAGUUUAUGAACUUUAUGCAUAACUUGGGCAGCUACAUAAAAUAAACCUAUGCCUUUUUUUUGCCAAUUUUCUUUAUUGGGCCUUAUGCUCUUACUAGACGUGAAACUGAACUUAUAUUAAGCAAUAAAGGGAAUAAUUCUAUGCCUGGGGAACAGAAUUUCAUAAAAUGAAUUGCUUUUUACCAAAUGCAUGGCUGAAGUUAAAAAAACAUAAUAAACAUUUACUAAAAUAUCAGAGUUUUUCUUGCAAAAACAUUAAAGCUAUCACAAUAUUCAGCAGAAGCUGGAAGUCAUUUCGAGAGGAGAGAAUAUAUGCUUUGAGAAGGGAAAACAAAUUAUUUCCCUAUGAACAUAUUUCUAAAGUAAUUAUGUGAGAUGAUAGAUAAGCUGAGGCAACUUUUUAAUAAAUGUUAAUUUAUUAAUUUUAUAAUUAUACUUCUAUUUGAUUAGGGAAAAUCAAAGUUGUUCUAAAAGAUAACCCACAUUUCUAAUCUACAUCUAACCAGGCUUUUAGUUCUGUACUUAAAGGAAUCUUUAAUAACAGUUCAUUUACAAUCUUUUUAGAAUUCUUACACUUUGAAUUUGUUUAUUCAAUUUCUUCUAAAAGUGUGCAUUGUGGGGUUCAGAGAAAACAGGUCAUGAUAUUCUAUCAGAUAAGCUUUUGAAAUUAUGGUAAGUAUAAAGUGACAAGAAAAUUUAGUUUCUCUUUACCUGAUAAGAAUGAAAUAAAAACCAGCAAUUAUUUUAACAAGCAACCAUAAAUACCCUAUGCUUUUGAUCUUGAAAUACAAUUUUAAGAAUUUAUCCUUUAAUCUAAAAUAUCAUCUGUUGGGGAGACUGUGGUGAGGCAGUGUUUCAGAGUUGGGUG
This 4854-nucleotide long non-coding RNA is filed under the name Sus scrofa (pig). RNAcentral's name for it is "lncRNA (ENSSSCG00040046912.1)". The record is from RNAcentral. Lineage: Eukaryota; Metazoa; Chordata; Mammalia; Artiodactyla; Suidae.